This 73-nucleotide transfer RNA is filed under the name Mobiluncus curtisii. RNAcentral describes it as "tRNA-Arg". It matches the Rfam family "tRNA". From Rfam's summary of the family: Transfer RNA (tRNA) molecules are approximately 80 nucleotides in length. Lineage: Bacteria; Bacillati; Actinomycetota; Actinomycetes; Actinomycetales; Actinomycetaceae. The record is from RNAcentral.
CCCCUCAUAGCUCAACGGAUAGAGCAACAGCGUCCUAAGCUGCGGGCUGCAGGUUCGAAUCCUGCUGAGGGGG